This 501-nucleotide ribosomal RNA is filed under the name uncultured bacterium. Its description in RNAcentral is "partial 16S ribosomal RNA". It matches the Rfam family "Bacterial small subunit ribosomal RNA", at positions 30 to 523 of the family's 1533-position model. The record is from RNAcentral.
AUUGAACGCUGGCGGCAGGCUUAACACAUGCAAGUCGAGCGGGGGAAGGUAGCUUGCUACCGGACCUAGCGGCGGACGGGUGAGUAAUGCUUAGGAAUCUGCCUAUUAGUGGGGGACAACAUCUCGAAAGGGAUGCUAAUACCGCAUACGUCCUACGGGAGAAAGCAGGGGAUCUUCGGACCUUGCGCUAAUAGAUGAGCCUAAGUCGGAUUAGCUAGUUGGUGGGGUAAAGGCCUACCAAGGCGACGAUCUGUAGCGGGUCUGAGAGGAUGAUCCGCCACACUGGGACUGAGACACGGCCCAGACUCCUACGGGAGGCAGCAGUGGGGAAUAUUGGACAAUGGGGGGAACCCUGAUCCAGCCAUGCCGCGUGUGUGAAGAAGGCCUUAUGGUUGUAAAGCACUUUAAGCGAGGAGGAGGCUACUAUAGUUAAUACCUAGAGAUAGUGGACGUUACUCGCAGAAUAAGCACCGGCUAACUCUGUGCCAGCAGCCGCAGUAA